AACAUAUGAUUUAUAAAUUCUACAAAAGUCUCUUAAAAUUUCACUUGCAAUACACCUCAGAUUUUACGAUCACUUGUGAUUUCAGAUAUGCUUUAGAAAUGUGAAUUCUAGUAUGCUUAGACUUGCUCAAAUAUGCUUAGAUCUGCUUAGGUUUUACUU
This 159-nucleotide small RNA is filed under the name Arabidopsis thaliana (thale cress). RNAcentral describes it as "ATSL211290". The record is from RNAcentral. Lineage: Eukaryota; Viridiplantae; Streptophyta; Magnoliopsida; Brassicales; Brassicaceae.